This 400-nucleotide ribosomal RNA is filed under the name uncultured bacterium. RNAcentral describes it as "bacterial SSU rRNA". It matches the Rfam family "Bacterial small subunit ribosomal RNA", at positions 355 to 769 of the family's 1533-position model. The record is from RNAcentral.
UGGGGAAUAUUGCGCAAUGGGGGGAACCCUGACGCAGCAACGCCGCGUGCAGGAAGACGGUCUUCGGAUUGUAAACUGUUGUCGCAGGGGAAGAAAAAAAUGACGGUACCCUGUGAGAAAGUCACGGCUAACUACGUGCCAGCAGCCGCGGUAAUACGUAGGUGACAAGCGUUGUCCGGAUUUACUGGGUGUAAAGGGCGCGUAGGCGGGUGUGCAAGUCAGGAGUGAAAUACCGGAGCUUAACUCCGGAGCUGCUUUUGAAACUGUACAUCUUGAGUAUCGGAGAGGAAAGCGGAAUUCCCAGUGUAGCGGUGAAAUGCGUAGAUAUUGGGAGGAACACCAGUGGCGAAGGCGGCUUUCUGGACGACAACUGACGCUGAGGCGCGAAAGUGUGGGGAGC